Fragaria vesca subsp. vesca is the source of this 1373-nucleotide RNA transcript. It is a transcript of the gene named vacuolar-processing enzyme-like, with no coding region annotated. NCBI's taxonomy places the organism in Eukaryota, Viridiplantae, Streptophyta, Magnoliopsida, Rosales, Rosaceae. The transcript has 9 exons. The record is from RefSeq and is a predicted model, not a curated record.
AUGUCUCGCUAUGUCUUACUGUUCCUUACACUACUGAGUUUGACAUCUAUUUCACUAUCUUCAUCUUCAAAAGUGGAAGAUAUCAGCAACGGGACAAGAUGGGCAGUUUUGAUUGCUGGGUCAAGAGGAUAUGAUAACUAUAGGCAUCAGGCUGAUGUAUGCCAUGCAUACCAGAUACUGAAGAAAGGUGGACUCAAAGAUGAGAACAUCAUUGUGUUCAUGUAUGACGAUAUUGCAUUCAACCCCAGAAACCCUAGACCUGGUGUCAUUAUCAACAACCCAGAUGGAAGUGAUGUUUAUCAAGGAGUUCCCAAGGACUAUACAGGAAUGGAAGUUAAUUCGCUCAACUUCUAUGCUGUUCUUCUUGGCAACAGAAGUACCCUCUUCGGUGGUAGCGGCAAGGUCUAAACAGCAGUCCGAACGACCGCGUUUUCAUAUAUUACGCUGACCAUGGCAGUCCUGGGAUGGUUGGCAUGCCGAUUGUAGGUGAUUAUGUCUAUGCCAAAGAUCUCAUAGAUGUGCUGAAGAAGAAGCACGACGCAAGAGGUUACAAAAGCAUGGUGUUUUACAUGGAAGCUUGCGACUCAGGGAGCAUGUUUGAGGGUCUCCUUCCCAACAAUAUAAACAUAUAUGCAACUUCAGCGUCAAAUUCAAAAGAGAGCAGUUGGGGGUUCUAUUGUCCUGGAGACUUCCCUAGUCCUCCUCCAGGAUAUGAUGUUUGCUUGGGAGACUUGUAUAAUAUUUCUUGGUUGGAGGAUUGUGACGAGCAUGACUUGAGCAAAGAAACUUUUGCGAAGCAAUACGAAGUGGUACGAAGGAGAACUGCAGCAAAUGGCUACUUAGAUUCGAGCCAUGUUAUGCAAUUUGGGAAUAAAAGACUAAGCGAGGAAUUCAUCUUCACUUACAUGGGUACAAAUCCUGAAAAUGAUAACUAUACUUAUCUCGAGUACACUGCAUCACCAUCGACCUCAAGGCCAAGGGUUGUCAGCCAACGCAACGCAGACCUCCUCCAUUUUCGUUACAAGCAGUUCCACAAUGCUCCUGAUGGCUCCGAUGCCAAGCUUGAAGCUCACAAAGAGCUCGUGGAUGAAAUUUCUCGGAGGAAGAAGGUGGAUUAUCAUAUGAAGCAAAUUGGGAAGCUUUUGUUUGGGUAUGACAAGAGCUCAAAAGUGCUGACGAAUGUUAGACCUCCGGGGGAACCUCUAGUUGAUGAUUGGGACUGCUUUAAGAUGCUGGUGAAAACUUUUGAGAAACACUGCGGAUUUUUAUCAAACUAUGGAAGGAAACACACAAGAGCAAUUGCCAACAUGUGCAAUGCCGGAGCUACGCCGGAACAAAUGGCUGCCGCAUGUGUUCAAACCUGUCAUGCUUAA